UCUGAUGACUUACCAGAACCUCUUCUCGUAACUGUCCCAGAGGCGCAGGGAGCUGGUUGAGGGCUUUGUCCAUGCCGACCUAAAGGCAAAAUCAUGUUGCCACAAGCACAUCACAGCAAGGGGUUCCCUUCAUCUUGGAUGCAUUCGUCUGUGCAGAGAAAACUGCUACCUAGAUGGGUCCUGCUGCAUAUGGCAGGUCAAUCACUACCACCCCAGCCAGUCAGAGCGAGUCUGCAUGCAGCAAGUGGGUCUCUGCCUCUGGGCCUCCAUGCCUACACAGCCAUCCCACACAGCCAUCCUCUGGGGCUCUGACCUCAGCGCUGCCACCACUCCAGCCUCUGCUCUGCUCUCCUGCAGCCUCGCCGUCGCCGCCGUGUCACCGUGUCACCCAGAGCACUGGGUGGAGCUCUUUCUAUAGAGUCAAUAGCAACAUAUUGCCCACAUGAGUGGUGAGCUAGCCGACUAGGCCCAGGUGAGAAUCCUGGCCACAGGAACUUUCAUUUUAUCCACACUUAACACAGU
Manis pentadactyla (Chinese pangolin) is the source of this 522-nucleotide long non-coding RNA. RefSeq lists it as uncharacterized. The transcript has 3 exons. Lineage: Eukaryota; Metazoa; Chordata; Mammalia; Pholidota; Manidae. The record is from RefSeq and is a predicted model, not a curated record.